Molecule: non-coding RNA, 97 nt
Organism: Acanthosepion pharaonis
Lineage: Eukaryota; Metazoa; Mollusca; Cephalopoda; Sepiida; Sepiidae
Source: the annotation of a GenBank genome assembly
ACAGUCAUAUUAUGCUGAAAGACUGGCUCCCUUCCAAUCACCAAAGUUAAGCAAUGUCAAGCCUGGUCAGUACCUAGAUGGGUGACCACUUGGGAAU